RNAcentral lists this transfer RNA (67 nucleotides) under Koreoleptoxis nodifila. Its description in RNAcentral is "tRNA-Cys". Lineage: Eukaryota; Metazoa; Mollusca; Gastropoda; Pleuroceridae. The record is from RNAcentral.
CUCGCUAUAGUUUAUAUAUAAAAAACAUCAAGUUGCAAACUUGGAAAUCGGCCAAUCCGCAGCGAGU